Molecule: ribosomal RNA, 382 nt
Filed under: Escherichia coli
Lineage: Bacteria; Pseudomonadati; Pseudomonadota; Gammaproteobacteria; Enterobacterales; Enterobacteriaceae
Also listed under: 2 other names
Description: bacterial SSU rRNA
Rfam family: Bacterial small subunit ribosomal RNA
Source: RNAcentral
UUAAGUCGACCGCCUGGGGAGUACGGCCGCAAGGUUAAAACUCAAAUGAAUUGACGGGGGCCCGCACAAGCGGUGGAGCAUGUGGUUUAAUUCGAUGCAACGCGAAGAACCUUACCUGGUCUUGACAUCCACGGAAGUUUUCAGAGAUGAGAAUGUGCCUUCGGGAACCGUGAGACAGGUGCUGCAUGGCUGUCGUCAGCUCGUGUUGUGAAAUGUUGGGUUAAGUCCCGCAACGAGCGCAACCCUUAUCCUUUGUUGCCAGCGGUCCGGCCGGGAACUCAAAGGAGACUGCCAGUGAUAAACUGGAGGAAGGUGGGGAUGACGUCAAGUCAUCAUGGCCCUUACGACCAGGGCUACACACGUGCUACAAUGGCGCAUACAA